This 308-nucleotide ribosomal RNA is filed under the name uncultured bacterium. Its description in RNAcentral is "partial 16S ribosomal RNA". It matches the Rfam family "Bacterial small subunit ribosomal RNA", at positions 505 to 807 of the family's 1533-position model. The record is from RNAcentral.
GAGACAGCAGCAGCCGCGGUAAUACGAAGGGGGCUAGCGUUGCUCGGAAUGACUGGGCGUAAAGGGCGCGUAGGCGGCGAUCAAAGUCAGGCGUGAAAUUCCUGGGCUCAACCUGGGGGCUGCGUUUGAUACUUGGUUGCUAGAGUGAGGAAGAGGGUCGUGGAAUUCCCAGUGUAGAGGUGAAAUUCGUAGAUAUUGGGAAGAACACCGGUGGCGAAGGCGGCAACCUGGCUCAUUACUGACGCUGAGGCGCGAAAGCGUGGGGAGCAAACAGGAUUAGAUACCCCCGUAGUCCCUGUCUCUUAUAC